GCUGCUUGGGUGUGCUCGUUUCUCCAGCUCACAGGCAACGGGCAGGCAGCGUGACCAGCCUGGCCUCUCCCCCGGCACUCACGAGAUCCAGGUGACCCUUCCAGACUGGUGAAAAAAUGUAAGUGUUGAUUUUCGGUGUUAAUAACCCCUGAAGAGAGGAAACUGCUGAGAACGGCUGGUGCAUACGAUGAAUUUGGAGAAUUCCCCGGAGUGGGUCAAGGAGACCUUUCCAGUCUCUUCCCGUGUGCUUUAUCUCCAAAGGUGGAAGCUCCCACAGGGGCUGGUAAACAUCAAUCCAGAGGCAACCAUCCAGUCCAGGAAGUCUCAAAGCUACAGACCACUGGAAACCCAGAGGGUGUGCUGAGAAAGGACCCAUCCUUGGGCUCCUUCCCAUGUAGCCCAUUAGCUAUUUGGGGUUUUUCCCCUUGUGGCACAGCAGUACCAGCGGUGACACGUGGAGUGGCUGCAGCAAACCCAUCCCUCAGUUCCAGAAGGCACUGCUGGACAGUCCUCACUCCGAGGCCAGGUGGUGACAAGAUGCUUUGGUCAAUGGACCUUUGAUCUCUCUCAUUAAUGCAGCAUUUUAUUUUUAAUAGUCAGGAAUACGAACUGGGGUGCAAGCUGCCACCCAUCUCUGCCCACCCGGGGGUAUUGCAUGGUUUUUCCUAACCUGUUUGAGAUGUAAAAUGGCAGCGUGGAGUAGGAUGGCAUCUGCCUGCUGUUGUCCACCUCCUCCCUGCCCCAACCUGGGGCCUGGGGCCAUUGCAGCGUCUGCAAACUCAGCAUCCAGGCUGCAGAACGAACCCUGCAAUAGUUGAAUUAACCCUUCCCGCCCUGGCAGACCUGUGGUUUAGAGCCAGAGCCUGCCCAGCUCAGCAGCUCGCCUGACCUCUGCGGCGUUGCGGCAGAGCAGUGCCGUUCAGGCACCAUCACUGCCCACAGCUUCCUUGCGAUUAUCCUGUGAGCUCAGAAAUGACAGGCAAAUCUUGUGCAGUUCUCUGGGAAACUCAAGGCAACCUUGGAACAAGCCCUUACGCCAAGCGCAUGCAGGCCUGCGUUAGACACAGCCUACACAAGCGAGUAUCGGGCUCCAAGAGCGGACUGUAAACUAAACGAAUCCAGGUGAAAGAUGCUGCAUUUGCAUCAGUGUAUUUUAUUUCAAGAGGAGGAAUGUCUCUUUCUUGUGUGGUCUUGUACAAGGGAAGACUUUGGAUGUGUCCACCUUGUUUUAUGCCCAGCUCUGGGCCCUGGAUCCUCACGCCGCAGUUGUGCCUGCUCACCUCUGGGGACAAGCCAUACAGAAGGAAACCCUGGCAUACGUCUCUCCAGCUGCGCUUCACACGUGACAGUAGGGACACGGGACACGUCACGCUGGGCACCUUCUACCAAGAUUUUCCUUGUCCUGAAAAGUUAAACAUCAAAAGAAUCACAAAGGAGGAAUUAAAGUUCUCAGCAACGUGAGGGUUAUUUUAUUUCAUGGGUAGGGUUUUCAUGGGAACUAAAGGGCUGAAUGAAUGGCUGGAAGAAAGACUCUGAAAGUAGAUCAACGGAGAGGUAGGGAAGAACACGGAGGCCAGCGGAGGUGGCACUGAACUGAAAGGAGCUCGGUGGGAGAAUGGAGACAACAACCAGCAGAGGGAGAGAAUAUCCAGGGUAAAAACUGAAUAAAGCAGUGGAGAUCAGGUGUCCAACUGGACCGUGGCUGACAGCCUUUCUUUUUCUGACUGUUUUCUGUUUCUUGGUAGCCCUUCCCACCAGAGAAGGGCCCAAAAUGAGGAAAUGAGCAAAUGAGCAAUUCACAAUAGUAAAGUGACCACAUGAAAUUCUAAUCCGUAGCGGAGCAGUGCAGAAAGGAACUAGUGGAAUUCCCAUGGUGGUGGGUGGCAGAGAUGUUCGAGCAGCAUCACGGUCUGAAGUAGUGCAUGAGCACGGGGUGGGGGACCAAGAUGUAUCAGCCGAGUAAACAAAUCUGCCAAACAGAUCCAUAGCGUGGCAGCUCCCCGCAGCUGCUGGAGCUGCUCUUGGCUGGGAGGAGUGUUAACACGGAGCUAUGCUGAUGUUCUCGCAGGGCAGGAGGAUGGCCACGCUCACUCGCUCCUUUGCAAAAACCCGGUGGAAGUUGCAACACAGCAGGGAGCAGCUGCUAGUUUUUAAUUCAGACCAUCUGAAUGCCUGGAAGAGGAGAGAGCUUAUCGACCGCUCAGGAUUUCUGAAGGUUCAAGCGGAGGACAGGGGCUGGGAUAAAACGGGACAUUCCACAAGGGAGGCCACAGAACAGCAGCCGCCGACAGCUGAGCCUCCUCAACGGCUCGCUGUCCUGACCCCACGCUCGCAGGAUUUCCUCUCUGCUCUCGUACCACAUAACGAGAUCUGUUCUUGUCACAGGAAACAUGUCCAUGCUUAUUUGUGUUACCUGCUAAUCGGUGUGAGAUGAUGCUGAACGUUUCAGCCUUGCAGAAAGUUGGAGCAGGUCUUUGUGACAUGAUAAAACACUGCGCAGUGGUAGCGGGAAUCCUUAAUGCCUCAGGUAUCUGAUCCCAGGUAGAGGAAGGAUACUUCAUGACAGGAUUUCAUAUUACAGCAUCCAUCAGCGAUUUCAGAGCUCAAAUGCCUGAAGCAGGAGUUUGGGUCAGGCCCAUUUUACUUCUCCAUUAGAAAGCUUCUUCCAAAACCUUUGCUCAUUACAGCUAUCUCUGUAAUGUUGGGAGCAGAAGUGCUCCCAAGCCUCUGGACCCAGAGUGAGCCCUUACUCUGCAUGAAGACAAGGCCUGGGGAUGCAGGGAUGCAUUCGCCCUGCCAGAAGGAGACUUCUCAGUGUCCUCUAGCCACUGUCCUGAGCUGGAUGAUUGCAGCACCUGAACACCUCCAGCAUGGACCAAGUCUGAUGCGUGUCUCACCUGACCGUGCCACCCACCUCUGUCUCCCUCCAUCCCUGAACUGAGGCUUUGCUCCACGUAACAUGCCAACCCUACACACCCUGAUCCCUAGUAAAGGGCAUAAUUUACUCAGGCUCAUUUGGCCUCGUUGCCUGGUAGAGGCCAGUCCUGAUUUGCUGACAAAAACUUUCUUGUCUGAGAUACCGGAGUAUAGGUGCAACUUUAUGCACCUUCCUACCCUCCCUAUGCAUUGAGAAAGAGAGAGGAUAGCAGACACGAAAAAUGUCAUCUCCAGACUGCUGCAGUUUGGGAAGGAGCAAUAUACACGUGCAUCACUUUGAGACACGUAUAAGCCAACCUUUUUUUUGUCCUCAGCCUAUGAAUUUUCAGAAACUACUAACAAGAUUAGCCCAUGUAAACGAACGCUCCAGGUCCCCAGCUCCCCCGUGUCCACGUGUGCUCUGCUGGGGCCUGCGGGAAGAGCAAGCCGUAGCUAAACGGGGAUAAAGAUGGUGCUUUCAAAUGGGAGAAGGAGCAUUGCUAGGAAGUGCUGCAAUACUGCAGUGAAAGAUGAGCCACCAGGCCCUUUGGCUAAGACGUGAAAGCAAGCUUCCAGACUCUUUUUGCUGGGAGUAAAACUUGCAACACGCUGCAUGUUAUUUUGAAAUGGCCUGCACACCAUAGUUUGGAAACCCAGGAGAGUUAAUGUGGCUUUUGGACUCUGCAUGAAUGCCACUUCCUAGCUUGGGCCUUGUGUAACAUUAAUUUCCAGGUAACUAACAAUGACUGAAGUUUUAUCUGUAUUGUGUAAUAUAGCGAAAUUACAGUGGGAUGGAACAAGACUGGCUAAGAACAAAGUCCUCUUUAUGCACAAAGCAAAGGCAGCAUAGAGAGUAUCAAUUCCAGCGCCUCCUUCCACUGAAAUACUUCAAAUCUGGUCUCCGUGUUUGCUGCUAAGGUCAGGCAACACAUCCAUUAACGUCUCCAUUAUUGAUCUCUCCACAUCAAUGAAGAUAAAGCCUGUCCAGAAGCUGCUCUAAAAAUCCAGCACAUUUUUUUCCCUGAAAAAGCCCUGGAUGUGUAGUUCUAAAUUCCAAAUGAAUCAAAGUUGCAUCUUGACUCUA
Long non-coding RNA from Dromaius novaehollandiae (emu), 4000 nucleotides. RefSeq lists it as uncharacterized. The record is from RefSeq and is a predicted model, not a curated record. The transcript has 2 exons. Lineage: Eukaryota; Metazoa; Chordata; Aves; Casuariiformes; Dromaiidae.